Molecule: long non-coding RNA, 779 nt
Filed under: Nicotiana benthamiana
Lineage: Eukaryota; Viridiplantae; Streptophyta; Magnoliopsida; Solanales; Solanaceae
Description: long non-coding RNA (NBEN_LNC028983)
Source: RNAcentral
CACCAUAUAACCUACAGGUUAUUCCCUAAUAAUAUCGAUAUUUCAAUAAUGACAAAAGUUCAGCUAUUAUAACUAAAAUUCAGCUCUACAAUUCCUAACAUGAAUCCUGAAAAUGUAUACUAAGUCUGCAUCCACAACUUAUUCUAGCGGCAGUAAAUCCAUAUAAUUUUCAGUAAUCAAAUAAGUUGCUCGAGCUGAAUGACUACUACUGCAUUUCGACUGACAGGAUUCCCACGAGGUCCCCAUUAUAGACAUCAGAUGCAAGAGAAUUUAAACAAACACUAGAGCUAGAAUGACAAGCCAAAAUCCACAUAUAGGAGGAUUUGAAUAGUAAAUUUAAUACAUCAAAGGAAUACACGACUUAUCCCUAAAGAACAUGUAUCUUUGUUCAAGCUCAUUCUCAUUCAUACUCAAGCCCAAAUUGUUUACAUAGUUUUGAUAGGCAAUUCACAUGCUAAUGGGAUCCGAGAAGUACCUGGAAAUCGAAAGAGAAAUAGAAGGGGUGAGAAUCAACAGAGUAGCAACAGCACAACACCCAGAUUUAAUGAAACAGUAAUCCCAAUUGCAAGAACUCAAAAUCAAGCUUUAAGAAAAUCAUACUUCAAGGCAUUGGAACCAAGAUGCGGGACUUUGGAUCUUUUCAUAAAAAGGAUUUUCCUAACCAGAUGAAAGAAAAAAAACACCACAUAUGCAGGAUUUAAGAGUUUUCCAAACAAGAAAUGCAAGGAAUUCAGAAUUUUCUCAAAGAACCUAGCCGCUUCAGUUUUAAGGAAUUUUUU